This 396-nucleotide ribosomal RNA is filed under the name uncultured bacterium. RNAcentral's name for it is "partial 16S ribosomal RNA". It matches the Rfam family "Bacterial small subunit ribosomal RNA", at positions 523 to 918 of the family's 1533-position model. The record is from RNAcentral.
AUACGUAGGGGGCGAGCGUUGUCCGGAAUGAUUGGGCGUAAAGGGCGCGUAGGCGGCCCGGUAAGUCUGGAGUGAAAGUCCUGUUUUUAAGAUGGAAUUGCUUUGGAUACUGUCGGGCUUGAGUGCAGGAGAGGUAAGUGGAAUUCCCAGUGUAGCGGUGAAAUGCGUAGAGAUUGGGAGGAACACCAGUGGCGAAGGCGACUUACUGGACUGUAACUGACGCUGAGGCGCGAAAGUGUGGGGAGCAAACAGGAUUAGAUACCCUGGUAGUCCACACUGUAAACGAUGAAUGCUAGGUGUAGGGGGUAUCGACCCCUUCUGUGCCGCAGUCAACACAAUAAGCAUUCCGCCUGGGGAGUACGGCCGCAAGGUUGAAACUCAAAGGAAUUGACGGGU